AGGGGCGUACGGGUGAGUAACACUUGGGUAAUCUACCUUUUAUGGGGGAAUAACCCUGGGAAACCGGGGCUAAUACCGCAUAAUCCUGUGAAGGGAAAGCAGCAAUGAUCUGAAAGAGGAGCCCGCGGCCGAUUAGCUAGUUGGUGAGGUAACGGCCCACCAAGGCGACGAUCGGUAGCCGGCCUGAGAGGGCACACGGCCACACUGGCACUGAAACCCGGGCCACACUCCUACGGGAGGCACCCCUGGGGAAUCUUGCACAGUGGAAGAAACUCUGAUGCAGCAACCCCUCGUGAGCCAUGAACCCCCUCGGGAUGAAAACCUUUUUCGGCAGGAACCAUUAUGACGGUACCUGAAAAAAAAGCUGCGGCUAACUACGUGCCAGCAGCCGCGGUAAUACGUACGCAGCGAGCGUUGUUCGGAAUUACUGGGCGUAAAGAGUGUGUAGGCGGUGCUCUAAGUUUGGUGUGAAAUCUCCCGGCUCAACUGGGAGGGUGCGCCGAA
RNAcentral lists this ribosomal RNA (504 nucleotides) under uncultured bacterium. RNAcentral describes it as "bacterial SSU rRNA". It matches the Rfam family "Bacterial small subunit ribosomal RNA", at positions 94 to 630 of the family's 1533-position model. The record is from RNAcentral.